AGGGAGCAAGCGUUAUCCGGAUUUAUUGGGUGUAAAGGGUGCGUAGGCGGUUUAAUAGGUCUGUGGUCUAAGUCCGAAGCUUAACUUCGGUUCGCCAUAGAAACCGUUAAACUUGAGUAUGGUAGAGGCAAGUGGAAUUUCUAGUGUAGCGGUAAAAUGCGUAGAUAUUAGAAGGAACACCAGUGGCGAAGGCGACUUGCUGGGCCAUUACUGACGCUGAGGCACGAAAGCGUGGGGAGCAAAU
RNAcentral lists this ribosomal RNA (244 nucleotides) under uncultured bacterium. Its description in RNAcentral is "partial 16S ribosomal RNA". It matches the Rfam family "Bacterial small subunit ribosomal RNA", at positions 529 to 773 of the family's 1533-position model. The record is from RNAcentral.